Molecule: ribosomal RNA, 1838 nt
Filed under: human gut metagenome
Description: bacterial LSU rRNA
Rfam family: Bacterial large subunit ribosomal RNA
Source: RNAcentral
ACCCCGGGAGGGGAGUGAAAGAGAACCUGAAACCCUGUGUUUACAAGCUGUGGAAGUUCUUUAAAUGAACAACCGCGUACUUUUUGUAGAACGGUCCGGCGAGUUGCGGAUACUGGCAAGGUUAAGCACUUAAGGUGCGGAGCCGAAGGGAUACCAAGUCUUAACAGGGCGUUAAGUCAGUAUACGCAGACCCGAAACCGGGUGAUCUAUCCAUGUCCAGGUUGAAGUUGUCGUAAAAGACAAUGGAGGACCGAAGCCACAUCCGUUGAAAAGGGUGGGCAUGAGGUGUGGAUAGGGGAGAAAUUCCAAUCGAACCCGGAGAUAGCUGGUUCUCCUCGAAAUAGCUUUAGGGCUAGCCUCGAUUUAGUCUUAUGGAGGUAGAGCACUGAAUUUCCGCGGGGGCGUCAAAGCUUACCAAAGAAUAUCAAACUCCGAAUGCCAUGUAGAUGAUGAAUGGGAGUCAGACUGCACGAGAUAAGUUGGGCAGUCAAAAGGGAAAGAGCCCAGACCACCGGCUAAGGUCCCAAAGUGCGUGUUAAGUGGAAAAGGAUGUGGGAAUUCGAAGACAACUAGGAUGUUGGCUCAGAAGCAGCCAUACAUUCAAAGAGUGCGUAAUAGCUCACUAGUCGAGAGGUCCUGCGCCGAAAAUGUCCGGGGCUAAAACACAACACCGAAGCUGUGGAAUCACGUAAGUGAUUGGUAGAGGAGCAUUCUUAAGACCGACGAAGCUGUACCGGAAGGAGCAGUGGAGGGAUAAGAAGAGAGAAUGCCGGAAUGAGUAGCGAGAGAGAGGUGAGAAUCCUCUCGGCCGAAUAUCCAAGGUUUCCAGAGUAAAGCUGAUCUGCUCUGGGUAAGUCGGGGCCUAAGGCGAGGACGAGAGUCGUAGCCGAUGGACAACAGGUGGAGAUUCCUGUACUGCGGUAUGACAGAACUGUGGGGACACGUAAGGAAAGCGGAAGCCGGGAAUGGAAAGCCCGGUGCAAGCGGGGUACCAGUCACUUUGGCAAAUCCGGGUGGCAAUGGGAAGCCGUGAUGCGGAGCGAAAUAAAGUAGCGAAGUCCGUGAGCCAUGCGUCAAGAAAAGCCGCUAUUGUUUAUACCGUACCCGUACCGUAAACCGACACAGGUGGAUGAGGAGAGAAUCCUAAGGCCGGCGGAAGAAGCAUUGUCAAGGAACUCGGCAAAAUGACCCCGUAACUUCGGGAGAAGGGGUGCCUGCGAGAGCAGGCCGCAGAGAAUAGGCUCAAGCAACUGUUUAGCAAAAACACAGGUCUAUGCGAAACCGAAAGGUGAGGUAUAUGGGCUGACGCCUGCCCGGUGCUGGAAGGUUAAGAGGAGAGGUUAGCGCAAGCGAAGCUUUGAAUUUAAGCCCCAGUAAACGGCGGCCGUAACUAUAACGGUCCUAAGGUAGCGAAAUUCCUUGUCGGGUAAGUUCCGACCCGCACGAAAGGCGUAAUGAUUUGAGCGCUGUCUCGACAAUGCAUCCGGUGAAAUUGAAGUACCAGUGAAGAUGCUGGUUACCUGCGCCAGGACGGAAAGACCCCAUGGAGCUUUACUCCAGUCUGGUACUGGGACUCGGUAUUGCAUGUACAGGAUAGGUGGGAGGCUAGGAGAUGGUAACGCCAGUUGCCAUGGAGCCGCUGUUGGGAUACCACCCUUGCAGUAUUGGGUUUCUAACCAGCCGCCGUGACCCGGCGGUGGGACAAUGCCAGACGGGGAGUUUGACUGGGGCGGUCGCCUCCGAAAGGGUAUCGGAGGCGCCCAAAGGUUCCCUCAGAAUGGACGGAAACCAUUCGAAGAGUGCAAAGGCAGAAGGGAGCUUGACUGCGACACCGACGG